GAACUUUCAUUAUCAGUGUUAUAUACAUCUGAAUCCUUGCAUUUGAGGUACAAUUCCACAAGAGCAGUUUCAACACUUUUGCACCACUCUGAGUUAAUAGUGAUAAUAUCACAAAGUGUCCACUCAGAUGUAAAUGGUAACUUCUUCCCGAAGGAACCCUCGAGCUUUAUUGAACUGCAUGAAAAGGUCAAAAUGGAACUUGUAGAAUAUGUAACUUCAUACAUGAUGUGAUCAGGUUUAACAACCACCGGAACUUUCGUAUCACAUAGAUUAGGACUCUGCAUCAAUUCUUG
Molecule: unclassified non-coding RNA, 293 nt
Filed under: Hevea brasiliensis (rubber tree)
Lineage: Eukaryota; Viridiplantae; Streptophyta; Magnoliopsida; Malpighiales; Euphorbiaceae
Source: RNAcentral